This 429-nucleotide ribosomal RNA is filed under the name Gemmatimonadota bacterium. Its description in RNAcentral is "Gemmatimonadetes bacterium partial 16S ribosomal RNA". It matches the Rfam family "Bacterial small subunit ribosomal RNA", at positions 355 to 776 of the family's 1533-position model. The record is from RNAcentral. Lineage: Bacteria; Pseudomonadati; Gemmatimonadota.
UAGGGAAUCUUCGGCCAUGGACGAAAGUCUGACCGAGCAACGCCGCGUGAGUGAAGAAGGUGUUCGGAUCGUAAAACUCUGUUGUUAGAGAAGAACAAGUACGUUAGUAACUGAACGUCCCCUGACGGUAUCUAACCAGAAAGCCACGGCUAACUACGUGCCAGCAGCCGCGGUAAUACGUAGGUGGCAAGCGUUGUCUGGAUUUAUUGGGCGUAAAGCGAGCGCAGGCGGUUUCUUAAGUCUGAUGUGAAAGCCCCCGGCUCAACCGAGGAGGGUCAUUGGAAACUGGGAGACUUGAGUGCAGAAGAGGAGAGUGGAAUUCCAGGUGUAGCGGUGAAAUGCGUAGAUAUAUGGAGGAACACCAGUGGCGAAGGCGGCUCUCUGGUCUGUAGCUGACGCUGAGGCUCGAAAGCGUGGGGAGCAAACAGG